Long non-coding RNA from Lepidothrix coronata (blue-crowned manakin), 1528 nucleotides. RefSeq lists it as uncharacterized. The transcript is spliced from 3 exons. Lineage: Eukaryota; Metazoa; Chordata; Aves; Passeriformes; Pipridae. The record is from RefSeq and is a predicted model, not a curated record.
UGAGCUUCAGAGUCUGGAGCCCUGAUAACACAAGCUUUCCUGCUUUUGCAAGCACUGACAUAUUUGCAAUGGAAUGGAAAAGGAACUGGGACCUUCUCUGCAGCCCUGCAAGGGGAAAGGCAGCUCCAGGACCGUGGCCCAUGUGUGGAGUUUAUCUGGCCAUUGGCAUCUCCAGAUGCAUGCCUUUCUGACCAGCAGCAAAAGACUGAAGAGUGAAAGCACUUUAAUAUUGCAGAGCACCUACGUGGAGACAAGUGGAUCAGUUCUCCUGCCUGAGUGUCCUUCUCUGAGACUCCUGGGGGGAAGAGUCCAUCCCAUAUAUGCUCCUGGUGGGACCAUUUGUUUCCCACAGGGGCAUAGCCCAUCAAAUCAGCACUGCCAGCUUGCCGCAGAAAGGGGGGCCAGGAGUCUGGAGCAAACUAGUCCUGCAGCAGCCCUGAAAAAAGAGCAAGCCAUCUAAAAAGAAAAGAGAUCAUUAAAUUUCCUUUCCACGUGGUGAACGAAGAAGCUUUUACCUGUGGAAGAAAGGAAGUGUUCUUUUUGUUAGCUUCAUCCAGAGAGAAAGAAAAUCUUUGAGGUAUUUUCUGGCACGUGGCUCCUGUUAGGUUUCAGCCAGCUGAGCUGCUCUCAAAAGCACUGGAAUGUAAUUUCAGCAAUAAUCAAUCAGCAGAAAUGGAGGCAGUGAGGGUGUUCUGUUGCACAGAAGUCCUGGGUGAAAACCCAUACGCUGUGGCUAAGAACACAAAUUUAACAAACAUGAAUCUGGAGAGCUGAAUUCCUGGAACCUCUCUCUGCCCUGAACGAUGGAAAAUUGAAGUCAUUUCUGGAUGGGGGAUGGUGCUUUUCAACUCCAAUUUCAGUCAAUUGACUCAAAUUCAUUUGUGAACCUUUGGCACUGCUGCCGAAAAAAUUUAAUUUCCCGCCAUUUUUUUAAUUUCUUGCUCAGAAUGUGUAAGUACUAAAUUAGACAUAGAGCUUCUGGCGUAAGCCAGCAUAAUCCUUUUACCGCUGAAUCAUUCUGUUAUAUAGUGUUUUGACCACUCUGUAUGUGUGUGAAAUUGCUGUCUAAAAUGUAUUGCUUAAAAUUGGUAUUUGCCUGUUUUGGACAAAUCUUUUAGAAAAUUCUAAAAGGAAAUAAUGCAGAAUAAAGAAACCUACUCUUUAGUCUCUUGGGUCGGAAACUCUUGAGUUCUGCAUGGUUUCAAAGUGCUUUUGAAAGAGCUGAAAUGGUUCGGUGUCAUACUACAAUGGUGUAAUUUUUUUGUAGGCUAGUUAAAUUAUUUUCAUGGGACAAAGAAAUCCCUUACGCAGUGUUGUAUUUGCAAAGGAAUGAGUAGUGUGCUUGCAUUGUUCUGGGAUCAUGGAAGCAUGCUAGUCUGAACAAGCUGAGCUUGGUCCAGACCAGCACAAAAUAAUGACUGAUGUUUUGAUGAGAAUUCAGUGAUGUGCAACAAGGGUUGAUAUUCUGCCAUGACAAAGGGUAGAUCCCAGCAGUGAAGCCAAAACAAACAAACAACAAACAAACAAA